GCUUGUUUCUUUUUCUCUCUUUCCUUUUUCUUUUUUUUUUUCUUUUUUUCUUUCCUUUCCUUUAUCUCAACCUCUCCCUCUCUCUCACAACAACAAGAAGUGUGUGUAUAUCUUCAAAUCUUGCAUGUAUGUAUGUGUAUGUGUAUGUAUGCAAAGCAAAAUGUGUUGUGCUGUGUGUGAAAAACACACAAAAAGGCAAAAGGGAAGAAUUCAACGCGAAAAGGAAAGAUCAGAUCCCUUCCUCUCCUUCACAAGAGCCAUCCCAUCCUUCCCUCCCUCUCUCUGUUUCUUUCUUUCCUUCCUCCUUGCUUUCUUUCUUUCCUCUAUAUUUCCUAUCCCUGUCAAAAGAAAAGAAAUAAAAAAAUCCUAAUAAGAAAGAGAAAAGUGACCCAUUUUUGUAAUUAAUGUGACCCAACUCAAAAACUGACCAAAUUAUUAUAUUACUUAGGUGGGAUUUACAGAAAAAUUAGUUAAAAGAUUAACUUUUUUGUUUUAUAUUUGUGGGUAUGUGUGUAGAGAAAGAGAGAGAAUUUCUGGAGAAUAGGAAGAAGUUGUAAUAAAGGACUAAGGAGUGAGUAAUUGUAUUAUUAUCAAUCUUAUUUUUAUUAUUAUUAUUAUU
RNAcentral lists this long non-coding RNA (619 nucleotides) under Ricinus communis (castor bean). RNAcentral describes it as "long non-coding RNA (RCOM_LNC002965)". Lineage: Eukaryota; Viridiplantae; Streptophyta; Magnoliopsida; Malpighiales; Euphorbiaceae. The record is from RNAcentral.